This 20-nucleotide microRNA is filed under the name Drosophila pseudoobscura pseudoobscura. Its description in RNAcentral is "mir-2543b-1-RA". Lineage: Eukaryota; Metazoa; Arthropoda; Insecta; Diptera; Drosophilidae. The record is from RNAcentral.
AUCCUAUGUGCUGUGGCUUA